CAGCCGCCGCGGUAAUACGAAGGGGGCUAGCGUUGUUCGGAAUUACUGGGCGUAAAGCGUACGUAGGCGGAUAUUUAAGUCAGGGGUGAAAUCCCAGAGCUCAACUCUGGAACUGCCUUUGAUACUGGGUAUCUUGAGUAUGGAAGAGGUGAGUGGAAUUCCGAGUGUAGAGGUGAAAUUCGUAGAUAUUCGGAGGAACACCAGUGGCGAAGGCGGCUCACUGGUCCAUUACUGACGCUGAGGUGCGAAAGCGUGGGGAGCAAACAGGAUUAGAGACCCCUGUAGUCCCUGUCUCUUAUAC
RNAcentral lists this ribosomal RNA (301 nucleotides) under uncultured bacterium. RNAcentral describes it as "partial 16S ribosomal RNA". It matches the Rfam family "Bacterial small subunit ribosomal RNA", at positions 509 to 807 of the family's 1533-position model. The record is from RNAcentral.